GCUUUUCUGAGGCUCAGUUGUUAGAGCAUUGCGUUAACAAUGCAAAGGUCAUAGGUUCAAAUCCCAUGGAAAGAA
This is a non-coding RNA of Danionella cerebrum, 75 nucleotides long. NCBI's taxonomy places the organism in Eukaryota, Metazoa, Chordata, Actinopteri, Cypriniformes, Danionidae. The record is from the annotation of a GenBank genome assembly.